RNAcentral lists this ribosomal RNA (60 nucleotides) under Gnomoniopsis smithogilvyi. RNAcentral's name for it is "partial 28S ribosomal RNA". The record is from RNAcentral. Lineage: Eukaryota; Fungi; Ascomycota; Sordariomycetes; Diaporthales; Gnomoniaceae.
AUUGACCUCGGAUCAGGUAGGAAUACCCGCUGAACUUAAGCAUAUCAAUAAAGCGGAGGA